This 251-nucleotide ribosomal RNA is filed under the name uncultured prokaryote. Its description in RNAcentral is "partial 16S rRNA". It matches the Rfam family "Bacterial small subunit ribosomal RNA", at positions 525 to 775 of the family's 1533-position model. The record is from RNAcentral.
ACGGAGGGUGCAAGCGUUGUUCGGAUUCACUGGGUAUAAAGGGCGCGUAGGCGGCCUUGUAAGUCAGAGGUGAAAGCUGCCGGCUCAACUGACAAACUGCAUUUGAGACUGCAAGGCUUGAGUCCUGGAGAGGAAGGUAGAAUUCCAGGUGUAGCGGUGAAAUGCGUAGAGAUGUGGAGGAAUACCGGUGGCGAAGGCGGCCACCUGGUCCGGAACUGACGCUGAGGCGCGAAAGUGAGGGGAGCAAACGG